GAGGAGUCAUUUGGUGACUUUUGAGUGAAAUCCAAUGGCUAAAACUAUGCAAUACACUAACCACUCCAUUUCAGAACAAACUUCGUACAAACCAGAAUUGUCCAAUUUCAUGAACCAAUCGAUAUCGGAUUGAGUCCAAAACUUGGGGAACAUCAUAAUAUGAUGGGAGGAGUCAUUUGGUGCCUUUUGAGUGAAAUCCAAU
This 202-nucleotide long non-coding RNA is filed under the name Prunus persica (peach). RNAcentral describes it as "long non-coding RNA (PPER_LNC005260)". Lineage: Eukaryota; Viridiplantae; Streptophyta; Magnoliopsida; Rosales; Rosaceae. The record is from RNAcentral.